Molecule: long non-coding RNA, 1133 nt
Filed under: Citrus sinensis (sweet orange)
Lineage: Eukaryota; Viridiplantae; Streptophyta; Magnoliopsida; Sapindales; Rutaceae
Description: long non-coding RNA (CSIN_LNC000275)
Source: RNAcentral
GUGGCUUGAAUUUAAGUAACACAGAUUUUUUAUCUUUAACUUGAAUUGGUUUUUUUCCCAAAAUUAUAUCUCAUAUGAAAAUUCUUAUCACUUAGGUUUGGCUAUGUAAUAUAGAAAUCUUCAAGCUUCGUGGGGUCCAUGUCAAUGGCAAUUUUAGGAUCAAUUCUUACAGGGCACAUGCCCCUCAGCUGCAUUGCAAAAUUGAAAUUUUAAGUGGGAUCGAUUCUGUUCCUGGGGCUGAAGUUGUAGAUUCUUGGUUGGGAGGUGCCGCCCAAAGAAAGAGUUAAAGUCUUGGUUGGGAGGUGCCACUCAAAGAAAGAAACAAAAGAGAAAGAAGAAAAAGAAGAAUUUAGUACCGCCCAAAGGAAAUUUUUUUUUUAAUUUAAUAGCCAUUUUUUGGCUAUAAAAGGGAGAGCUCCCCAUUUCAUUUAGCAUCCAAUUUUGCAGAGAGAGUUGAGAGUUGUGAGAAGUAAUUCUUGUAGAGCAAAGAAUUUUGUGUGCUCAGUGAUUUGAGAGUUUGGGUGUAUUGGGGUUUUGGGUAGUGAGCUAAAAUACUACAAUAUUUGUAACUCCUUUUCACUAGUAUAAUAUUUUCCUUCUGUCUUCGCCCAUGGACGUAGGCUAAAAGCCGAACCACGUAAUUUCUGGUAUUCUCUUUUGUUCUUGUUUUUUAUUUUCUUCCAAUUUUACUUUAGCUGCAUGUCUGCCUCACCCACCAGCAGCUACGUUCUGACUUUCAGACCUUCCAGCAGCAGAGCAUUGAUCAGCAGCUUGAGCUUAUUGCUGGACAGCGCACUCUUCUCCGCUAUUUCGGCUAUGAUCCGGGGAGCACAUCUUCUCCACCUCCAUAGUUUCUGAGUUCUAUUUUCGCACAUACAUUUCAUAUUUUGGUUGUUUGCGUGUUUCCAUUUAUAUUUUUAUACACACUGUUACCUCUAUAUGCUCUUUCUGGAUUUUGAUGACAUAUUUUUGUGAUGUUCUUGAUGUUGGAUGACUUGGUAAUUGGUUGAUGAAAUUGUUGGUUUCUUGGAUAUUGAAGUGUUGGUUUGUUUGUUCAUGGCGUUGUUGGUUUGUUGAAAGAUGGAAUUGUUGUUAAUAUAUUUUGGAAGUGUUUUAAUCUCAUUUUGUAUUAG